UAUACAUGCAAGUCGAGCGGACCGACGGGAGCUUGCUCCCUUAGGUCAGCGGCGGACGGGUGAGUAACACGUGGGUAACCUGCCUGUAAGACUGGGAUAACUCCGGGAAACCGGGGCUAAUACCGGAUGCUUGAUUGAACCGCAUGGUUUCAAUCAUGAAAGGCGGCUUCGGCUGCCGUUUACAGAUGGACCCGCGGCGCAUUAGCUAGUUGGUGAGGUAACGGCUCACCAAGGCGACGAUGCGUAGCCGACCUUGAAAGGGUGAUCGGCCACACUGGGACUGAGACACGGCCCACACUCCUACGGGAGGCAGCAGUAGGGAAUCUUCCGCAAUGGACGAAAGUCUGACGGAGCAACGCCGCGUGAGUGAUGAAGGUUUUCGGAUCGUACAGCUCUGUUGUUAGGGAAGAACAAGUACCGUUCAAA
This 426-nucleotide ribosomal RNA is filed under the name Bacillus sp. PSu2_24. RNAcentral's name for it is "bacterial SSU rRNA". It matches the Rfam family "Bacterial small subunit ribosomal RNA", at positions 50 to 464 of the family's 1533-position model. The record is from RNAcentral. Lineage: Bacteria; Bacillati; Bacillota; Bacilli; Caryophanales; Bacillaceae.